UACAGAGGUCUCAAGCGUUGUUCGGAUUCAUUGGGCUUAAAGGGUGCGUAGGCUGCGCAGAAAGUUGGGUGUGAAAUACCUCGGCUCAACCGAGGAACUGCGCCCAAAACUACUGUGCUCGAGGAAGAUAGAGGUAAGCGGAACUUACGGUGGAGCGGUGAAAUGCGUUGAUAUCGUAAGGAACACCUGUGGCGAAAGCGGCUUAUUGGGUCUUUUCUGACGCUGAUGCACGAAAGCUAGGGGAGCAAACGGG
This 253-nucleotide ribosomal RNA is filed under the name uncultured bacterium. RNAcentral's name for it is "partial 16S ribosomal RNA". It matches the Rfam family "Bacterial small subunit ribosomal RNA", at positions 524 to 776 of the family's 1533-position model. The record is from RNAcentral.